GCUGUAAUGGCAGGUCAGCAUACUGCCGUGAAUACGUUCCCGGGCCCUUGUACACACCGCCCGUCACACCAUGAGAGUUGGAAAUACCCGAAGCCUGUGAGCUAACCUUAUAGGAGGCAGCAGUCGAAGGUAGAGUCAAUGAUUGGGGUGAAGUCGUAACAAGGUAGC
RNAcentral lists this ribosomal RNA (168 nucleotides) under uncultured bacterium. RNAcentral describes it as "partial 16S ribosomal RNA". It matches the Rfam family "Bacterial small subunit ribosomal RNA", at positions 1335 to 1500 of the family's 1533-position model. The record is from RNAcentral.